This 450-nucleotide ribosomal RNA is filed under the name uncultured Glomeromycotina. Its description in RNAcentral is "SSU rRNA". It matches the Rfam family "Eukaryotic small subunit ribosomal RNA", at positions 569 to 1023 of the family's 1831-position model. Lineage: Eukaryota; Fungi; Glomeromycota. The record is from RNAcentral.
AGCAGCCGCGGUAAUUCCAGCUCCAAUAGCGUAUAUUAAAGUUGUUGCAGUUAAAAAGCUCGUAGUUGAAUUUCGGGAUCAAUGCGUCGGUCGUGCCUUCGGUACGUACUAGCGUCAUUGAUUCCUCCCUUCUGAAGAACCGUGAUGUCAUUAAUUUGGUGUUACGGGGAAUCAGGACUGUUACCUUGAAAAAAUUAGAGUGUUUAAAGCAGGCUAACGCUUGAAUACAUUAGCAUGGAAUAAUGAAAUAGGACGUUCGAACCUAUUUUGUUGGUUUCUAGGAUCGACGUAAUGAUUAAUAGGGAUAGUUGGGGGCAUUAGUAUUCAAUUGUCAGAGGUGAAAUUCUUGGAUUUAUUGAAGACUGACUACUGCGAAAGCAUUUGCCAAGGAUGUUUUCAUUAAUCAAGAACGAAAGCUAGGGGAUCGAAGACGAUCAGAUACCGUCGUAG